AGCAGGGACUCUGGCUUUGCAGAGCAUCCCCGUUUCCCCGUUUUUCCCUUUUCACCCAAUAAAACCCUGCUUCACUCACCCUUCAAACCAUCUGCAAGCCUAAAUUUUUGUGGCUGUGGGACGGACAAAGAUGCCUUUAGCUGACUGAGGAAAAGUCCUGCAACACAGGAUUCCAAAACCUCCCCACAGAUGCCUGAACUAAGGAAGUGGACAGCCUUAGGAGACAAGCAUUUGCUGGAAGAGACGUUUCUCUUAAUUUACAUGAGACUAUCUCCUGGGCUGGUGUGCAAUGGCUCCAUCUCAGCUCACCGCAACCUCCACCUCCCAGGUUCAAGUGAUUCUCCUGCCUCAGCCUCCCGAGUAGCUGCGAUUACAGGCACCCACCAUUACGACCGGCUAAUUUUGUAUUUUUAGUAGAGACGGGAUUUCACCACACUGGCCAGGCUGGUCUCAAACUCCCAACCUCAGGUGAUCCACUCGCCUUGGCCUCCCAAAGUGCUGGGAUGACAGGCGUGAGCCACCGCACCCGGCCACUUGUUUUUGUUUUCUUAAACUGACUUUUGUUUUCAGCAGAGUGUCUCAACUAAGAACCCAAAAAGGGAAAGAAAAGAAACUAUGUGUUCUCCCCUACAGAAUGUUCUUGCCAUAACUUUGUGAGAUGACAUGAUUCAGAAUUAUCUCCUUGGCUUCUCAUAGAGAGUUCCAAAUCAUGUCACCUUGCUUUGUGGAGAAAAUGACCAGUUAUGGAUAGCAAGUACAUUUGAAGCUGCUUCCGUUGCUUGGGGAUCUAUCUAACAGUAUGAGGCUCAGGAGAAGUUUUGCCCUUUCUCCCUAGGAGGACGUGCUUUCUACAAACAGCCAAUGUUCUGAGCUGCCUUCUUAAAGAUGUGAUUUCAGGAGCUCAUUGCAGACUUCCUAUGCAACUAGCCCAAGAGUUCUUUGUGUCUCUAAGAACUUAUCAAAGAACUCAGCAGUAUGAGAAUAGAUCAAUACAUAGAGGGUUUCCUUUAAGUCUUGUAGAAACUCAUUACUCUCCAGUCUCUUUUUCCACUUAUAGUAGAGAGAAUCAGACUUGCGGAUAUCCAGUUAACUAUCAAUACCUUUAAAAAAUGUGAACAAGCAGUCCGUCUGAAUAAUUAUACCAAAUGUCAAGGCUUUUAAAAGUGCUUAACUUUAAAGGUCCUUUGCAGUUGUUCAGACCUAGAUUCUCAGUUCAGUUAGCAGAGAGAGAGACAAGGAAAAAAAUGAGGAACACUUUUCUCACGCAUAAGUAUUCACUGGUUUUUGAAAUACUAUUGAUUCCUUGGAUAAGAAAAUAGGUCAACUUUAUAGCUUUUUGUCUCCAAAUUGAUUUCCCGCCACAAACAGUGGCUUGUGCCUAUAAUCCCAGCUACCUGGGAGGCUGAGGUGGGAGGAUCGCUUGAGCCCAGAAAGUCAAAGCUACAGUGAGCUGUGAUUGUGCCACUGUAUCCCAACCUCGGUGACAGAGUGACACACUCUCUCUUAAAAAAAAAAAAAAAAGAUUUCCAUGAAUGUGCUGGUAAACCAGGAGAUAUAGAACUACUUGCCUCCAAUUAGAACUCAAAUCCUCCUAUAUCCCCUGCAGAGUGCUUGCUUCUUAUUCAGAAGGAGGACACAUUUUCACCAUCUGUGGGGUGAUCGGACAGCAUUCACGAACACACCUUAAUGGAACACUGUCGGCUGUGCAAAAAAUCUCCCCAAAUAAAUGAUAAGGCCUUUUGUGAAAUCCACAUUACUGUGGGUUUUGAGCUCUGAGCUACCAUAUUCAUACAACAGAACUCGAGUACUUCACACAGUAUUAAUCCUUUGCAUUUUGUAACUUAGAAAUCUGCUUUGAGAGAUCAAUUCAGUAGUUUUGUUUUUAACUUUUCCAUUAAAUAUUAUUUGAAAUGCUUUCAGGCAGCCCUUGCUUAUCCUCUGAUGUGUGAUACAUUUUCUGGGUUUUUCCUUGCAAAAUCAGAUCCCCUUCUUUCAGUUAGCUACAAAGUGUUAGAAUAUUAAAUGGUUAUAUUUGCCAAUACCAUGCCGUACUCUAGAAAUAAAGAGAGCUAAGAGUUACAGAAGAUACAUUAUCAAGUUUCUAGCAACUUCAAAAGCAUGGAAAAGUUAGCACAUGGAAGAUUCUGAUUUGUUUUAUUUAUUUAUUUAUUUUUUAAUUUUCAAAAGAGCUUUAAUGGACUUAUACAGUUCCACAUGGCUGGGGAGGCCUCACAAUCAUGGCGGAAGGCAAGGAGGAGCUCUCUUUUUGCCUGCCGCCAUCCAUGUAAGAUGUGACUUGCUGAUUUGUUUUAAAAAGUGACACAGAGCACGUUUUUGAAGUUAGCAAUAAAUUGGCCAUUUGAAAUGAGGAAGCUAUGGAAUGUAGAUCUGUUUUGAAACUGCAGGAAGGAUCACAGAACAAUGCCCCGUUCUGAUGAAUCAGUAGAAACUAGAAGACAGAAAAGCAUGUCAUGUACUCUCCGUAAAGUUUGCUUGCUGGCACUAUUCCUGCUUCAGCAUUGAAAAAGUACACUCAUUAACCAAUUGAAUACAAAAACAGUGCCUUCCACAGUUCAAUUAUGCUGCUUUAGGCAUACUAAAUUAGCUGUCUCCUGAAGUCUAUCCACAGCUUCAGAAAACGAUUCCUGGAAAUAAGGAGUAUUGUGUGGACUUGAAAUGAAUCAGAAAGGAAAUGAAAGUGAAACUUGGGAAUGAAAAAGCUUGGGUUAUGUUCAUACAGCAGUAUGUCAUCCUGACCAUAUACAGAAUGGCCAUUAUACAGUGUGCACUAAACUGAGUAAUGAGAGGGCUAAAGAUAGUGUCAUGAAUUGAAAGCCUUUGCAAUAUAAGCAGAAACAUAAAACACAGAAACAAGUACAAAAUGAGAAAAACAUAUCCAAAGUUGGCAUUCCAUGCCAAUAAUGCCUAGGUAAAAGACACAGAAGAGUAGACAGAGGAUAAUUAGAAAAAUAUGACAUUGCAAUAAGAAAACAAAAACCAUUGCUAUAGAAAAGAGAAUUAAAUUCAAUUUAAUUUAUACAUAUCAGGUACACUAAAUGGAAGACACUGAACGAGGUACUAGGGUUGCCGCAAUAAACUCUACUCUAUUCCUACAGUAACAGAUAUAAAGAAAACAGAGGGAACCUGUCAUCAUUAUGGUUCCACAAACAUUUUUGCUUGGACGAUGAAUCAACAUUGGGUGGUAAGGAGAAAUAAGACAGAUAAGAUAGGAAGCUCAAUCUAGAACAUAUACUUGACAUUUUAAAUGCACACAUGUGACUGUAGAGGAGAAGAUGAAAUUGAUUGGCCUGGAAAUACACUGAAAAGUUGUGUCAUUAGAAGGACACUGAGCCAGGAGUGGCAGAGUGGAGUCUGCAGUCAGGGCUCUAUCAGUAUUCAAUGAUCACUCUCUCUGUCAUGUUGACCAUAUGGCAAGUCAAAUCAGGCUUUCAGGAAGCCAGGGGGGCAUGUCUGUAAUGGUGUGUUGUAUUCCAGUACUUCACACCUAAUUCACUCUCUUCAUAAAACAGGGUGGCCACCCUUGAUUCUGUGGAAGGAAAAAAAAUGAACGAACAAUGGGAAGAGUCCAAAAUUAUAAGAAAAGUAUUUCUUCUCCGUGCUACCACUACGAAGCUCUUGGUUUCUCAUUAUACAAUGAAGUUACACAAUUUAGCAAUGGGAAAACAGAUAGUAAAUGCACACUUCACAACACAGCAAGACAAUGCUUUUCACAGAUGGCUGAGCACUGCAGGAAUGUGGAAGGGAUCCCCGUAUGUGGAAAGGAUCUACUUCAAUUCCAUACCUCAGUCCUUCACCUCCAGACAUGCAGGGUGACAGAAUCAAGACAUAACGCUAUUUGUAAAUUAAAUAUUGGUGUAUCACAACACCACGGUCAAGCUCUCAGCAUCAAAAAAUCAGCUUUGAAAGAGAAAAGGCAAAUUCACACACAGUGGCCCUGGUAUCUGGCCUGUGCUGAUGUGUUUAGGGAACAACAUUUUGGCUCCCUGAAAUAUUUUAACACACGCAUAUAUUUAAAUAAAUUAUAAUAAGGCAAAUGUCAUCAUGCCAAAGCAUCAUUAUGCUAAGACAAUAGGUUAAUUUAUUUAGUGAAUAGAGUCUAAAUGGCAUUUGGUGCAAAGUGGAUCCAGAAUAUUGAUAAAGUACAGUUCUCAAGCAAAAAGGUAUUUGUUUGUGCUUGUCAACACUUUAUGUAACUCAUUAAUGAAAGAACCAGAGGGUAGAUUAAGGGGAAUAUCCAACAGCAUUUGAAAAAAUUGAGAUCUAUAUAGUCAUUUGUGUAAGGGAUGUGUAAACAAAAUUGCUAAAUUAGUUAGAAGACGGGUUGACUUUUUACAGAUUGUGAAAUCACAGCAUUUUAUAAAUUUCCGCAGAUUAAAUUCUAACCUUGACUAUGGACUGUUGGCCAAAUUAACUGUCACAACAAAUAUCAGAUGACACACAAGCAGACUUAUCAGAACAUGCAUGAACUUUAUAAAAAACAUAUAUUGUUAGCCUCGUUUUAUCUUUUUCCAAGUCUGAAAUACAUUUUUAUGUCACAGGGAGAACCCCAAGAUUGUAUUCAUUUUCUUUUUUCCACCAUUUGUGUUCUUGAUAGCACAGGUGCAGCCUCGGGCUCAGUUAAAUGUACCCACUAGGUUCUAAAAAUGAUGACAACCUUUGGGGAAAUCUAGUCACCCCCUUUAUUUUACUCAUAUGAAAACUUACAGCUCAUAUGGAAACAGAAAGUUUUCAUGAAAGUUUCUUUCAUAAAGCAAGUUUAUGAAAGAAAGGCUUAACAUCUUACCCAGCCAUAUACCCUUUCAGAAGCAGGAAUGGAACUGGACCCCAGGGAUUCUGACUUUGUUUCAGGACUCUUCCUAAUGCAACAUCCUUAUCUGUAUAAAAGUUUUAAACUGUUAUAUGCAUUUCAUGAGCUUUAUGCAUUUUGUAUAGUAUUACCCGUGGGGGCAGGGUAAGAAGCUUUACAAUGGAGUUGUCACUACAUGAUUCUCACAUUUGCAUUAUUUCUGUGCUUUUUAGGUUCCAUCUUAACUAAGUUUUAAAUGCUAGAAUGUAAGGCUUAAGCAGGUAAAGAUCUCAUUCUAAUUUCUACCAUGUAUGGCAGGUAAUUAAACUGUAGACAAUGGUGCAUCAGGCGAAGGUGCCCCCGAUGAUUUACUAUUCAGGGUCCUAAUAAUUUGACAUUCCAAGCACAAUACAGCUAAAACAAAGACUGAAACACUGGGAGCCAUAAAACUGCAAGUAUAAUUCGAGACAUCUAAUCUGGGGGAGAAAAUCGAGAACCAAUGGCUCUAACAGUGAGUCAUCUGUUAGCAUUCCCAAGCUCUGAACUGUAGCUUUAAGAAAGAAAAACAAAUAUCCUCAUUUUGCAUGUUAAGUUUCAAAUCUAAUGUGUUUCUGGUUCUGCAUUUUAACACCUAUAUGCUCUGUAAAAAAUAUUCAAUGGAUUAUUUUCCCAAGUUCUAUCAUAUGACAGGGCUUCAACGUCUUAUAUUAAAUCAGUUCUAAACU
Pan troglodytes (chimpanzee) is the source of this 5532-nucleotide long non-coding RNA. RefSeq lists it as uncharacterized. The transcript is spliced from 3 exons. The record is from RefSeq and is a predicted model, not a curated record. NCBI's taxonomy places the organism in Eukaryota, Metazoa, Chordata, Mammalia, Primates, Hominidae.